RNAcentral lists this ribosomal RNA (460 nucleotides) under uncultured Spirochaeta sp. RNAcentral's name for it is "bacterial SSU rRNA". It matches the Rfam family "Bacterial small subunit ribosomal RNA", at positions 920 to 1382 of the family's 1533-position model. Lineage: Bacteria; Pseudomonadati; Spirochaetota; Spirochaetia; Spirochaetales; Spirochaetaceae. The record is from RNAcentral.
CCCGCACAAGCGGUGGAGCAUGUGGUUUAAUUCGAUGGUACGCGAGGAACCUUACCAGGGCUUGACAUACGCCGGAAGCGCAUCGAAAGGUGCGUGCCGCUUGCGGCCGGCGUACAGGUGCUGCAUGGCUGUCGUCAGCUCGUGCUGUGAAGUGUUGGGUUAAGUCCCGCAACGAGCGCAACCCCUGCUGCCUGUUGCCACCACGAGAGGUGGGGACUCAGGCGGGACCGCCGGUGACAAACCGGAGGAAGGUGGGACGACGUCAAGUCAUCAUGGCCCUUAUGUCCUGGGCUACACACGUGCUACAAUGGCCGGUACAGAGCGCAGCGAGGCCGCGAGGCGGAGCGAAUCGCUUAAAGCCGGUCCCAGUACGGAUUGGAGUCUGCAACCCGACUCCAUGAAGUUGGAAUCGCUAGUAAUCGCGCAUCAGCAUGGCGCGGUGAAUGCGUUCCCGGGCCUU